Molecule: ribosomal RNA, 278 nt
Filed under: uncultured Syntrophus sp.
Lineage: Bacteria; Pseudomonadati; Thermodesulfobacteriota; Syntrophia; Syntrophales; Syntrophaceae
Description: partial 16S ribosomal RNA
Rfam family: Bacterial small subunit ribosomal RNA
Source: RNAcentral
GUUGCCAGCGGACCCUUCGGGGUGCCGGGAACUUUGGCGGGACUGCCGGCGAAUAGCUGGAGGAAGGAGGGGAUGAUGUCAAGUCCUCAUGGCCCUUAUGUCCGGGGCUACACACGUGCUACAAUGGGUGGUACAAAGAGCAGCCAGCUCGCGAGAGUGAGCAAAUCUCAAAAAGCCAUCCUCAGUUCGGAUUGAAGUCUGCAACUCGACUUCAUGAAGUUGGAAUCGCUAGUAAUCGCGGAUCAGCAUGCCCGCGGUCGAAUACGUUCCCGGGCCUU